This 253-nucleotide ribosomal RNA is filed under the name uncultured bacterium. RNAcentral describes it as "partial 16S ribosomal RNA". It matches the Rfam family "Bacterial small subunit ribosomal RNA", at positions 524 to 777 of the family's 1533-position model. The record is from RNAcentral.
UACGUAGGGGGCUAGCGUUGCUCGGAAUUACUGGGCGUAAAGGGCGCGUAGGCGGCUUAGUUAGUCAGGCGUGAAAUUCCUGGGCUCAACCUGGGGACUGCGCUUGAUACGGCUAGGCUAGAGGAUGGAAGAGGUCGCGGAAUUCCCAGUGUAGAGGUGAAAUUCGUAGAUAUUGGGAAGAACACCGGUGGCGAAGGCGGCGACCUGGUCCAUUACUGACGCUGAGGCGCGACAGCGUGGGGAGCAAACGAGG